This 1269-nucleotide ribosomal RNA is filed under the name uncultured bacterium. Its description in RNAcentral is "bacterial SSU rRNA". It matches the Rfam family "Bacterial small subunit ribosomal RNA", at positions 94 to 1399 of the family's 1533-position model. The record is from RNAcentral.
AGUGGCAGACGGGUGAGUAACAUGUGGGUAUCUGCCCUUUGGCCUGGAAUAACACGAGGAAACUUGUGCUAAUACCGGAUAAGUCUUUACAGAGAAAGCUUUAUGCACCAUUGGAUGAGCCUGCACUUGAUUAGUUUGUUGGUGGGGUAAUGGCCUACCAAGACUGUGAUCAAUAGCUGAUUUGAGAGGAUGAUCAGCCACAUUGGGACUGGGACACGGCCCAAACUCCUACGGGAGGCAGCAGUGGGGAAUCUUGCACAAUGGAGGAAACUCUGAUGCAGCGAUGCCGCGUGAGUGAAGAAGGCCUUUGGGUUGUAAAGCUCUUUCGUCGGGGAAGAAAAUGACUGUACCCGAAUAAGAAGGUCCGGCUAACUUCGUGCCAGCAGCCGCGGUAAUACGAAGGGACCUAGCGUAGUUCGGAAUUACUGGGCUUAAAGAGUUCGUAGGUGGUUGAAAAAGUUGGUGGUGAAAUCCCAGAGCUUAACUCUGGAACUGCCAUCAAAACUUUUCAGCUAGAGUAUGAUAGAGGAAAGCAGAAUUUCUAGUGUAGAGGUGAAAUUCGUAGAUAUUAGAGAGAAUACCAAUUGCGAAGGCAGCUUUCUGGAUCAUUACUGACACUGAGGAACGAAAGCAUGGGUAGCGAAGAGGAUUAGAUACCCUCGUAGUCCAUGCCGUAAACGAUGUGUGUUAGACGUUGGAAAUUUAUUUUCAGUGUCGCAGCGAAAGCGAUAAACACACCGCCUGGGGAGUACGACCGCAAGGUUAAAACUCAAAUGAAUUGACGGGGACCCGCACAAGUAGUGGAGCAUGUGGUUUAAUUCGAAGAUACGCGCAGAACCUUACCAACACUUGACAUGUUCGUCGCGACUCUAAGAGAUUAGAGUUUUCGGUUCGGCCGGACGAAACACAGGUGCUGCAUGGCUGUCGUCAGCUCGUGUCGUGAGAUGUUGGGUUAAGUCCCGCAACGAGCGCAACCCUCACUUUUAGUUGCCAUCAUUAAGUUGGGCACUCUGAAAGAACUGCCAGUGAUAAGCUGGAGGAAGGUGGGGAUGACGUCAAGUCCUCACGGCCCUUACGUGUUGGGCUACACACGUGCUACAAUGGUAUCUACAACAGGAAGCAAGACUGCGAAGUUAAGCAAAUCCUUAAAAGAUACCUCAGUUCGGAUUGCACUCUGCAACUCGAGUGCAUGAAGCUGGAAUUACUAGUAAUCGUGGAUCAGCGUGCUACGGUGAAUGCGUUCCCGGGUCUUGUACACACCGCCCGUCA